GAUGAAGAACGCAGCGAAUUGCGAUAAGUAAUGUGAAUUGCAGAUUUUCAGUGAAUCAUCGAAUCUUUGAACGCACCUUGCGCUCCUUGGUAUUCCGAGGAGCAUGCCUGUUUGAGUGUCAUCGAAUUCUCAACCUUUUCAGCUUUCUUUGUUGAUCAGGCUUGGAUGUGGGAGUAUGCGGGCUUCUCAGAAGUCGGCUCUCCUGAAAUGCAUUAGCGGGACCUUUGUUGCCUGGCUUUGGUGUGAUAAUUAUCUACGCCAUUGUAGUCAAGCAGCUUAAAAUGAGGUUUCAGCUUCUAACCGUCUCCCCUGAGACAACUUUUUGACAAUUUGACCUCAAAUCAGGUAGGACUACCCGCUGAACUUAAGCAUAUCAAUAAGCGGAGGA
This 388-nucleotide unclassified non-coding RNA is filed under the name soil metagenome. RNAcentral describes it as "partial contains 5.8S ribosomal RNA, internal transcribed spacer 2, and large subunit ribosomal RNA". The stretch from base 1 to 121 matches the Rfam family "5.8S ribosomal RNA", at positions 35 to 154 of the family's 154-position model. The record is from RNAcentral.